CCUACGGGAGGCUGCAGUGGGGAAUAUUGCACAAUGGGCGCAAGCCUGAUGCAGCCAUGCCGCGUGUGUGAAGAAGGCCUUCGGGUUGUAAAGCACUUUCAGCGGGGAGGAAGGCGUUAAGGUUAAUAACCUUGUCGAUUGACGUUACCCGCAGAAGAAGCACCGGCUAACUCCGUGCCAGCAGCCGCGGUAAUACGGAGGGUGCAAGCGUUAAUCGGAAUUACUGGGCGUAAAGCGCACGCAGGCGGUCUGUCAAGUCGGAUGUGAAAUCCCCGGGCUCAACCUGGGAACUGCAUUCGAAACGGGCAGGAUAGAGUCUUGUAGAGGGGGGUAGAAUUCCAGGUGUAGCGGUGAAAUGCGUAGAGAUCUGGAGGAAUACCGGUGGCGAAGGCGGCCCCCUGGACAAAGACUGACGCUCAGGUGCGAAAGCGUGGGGAGCAAACAGGAUUAGAUACCCGAGUAGUC
This 465-nucleotide ribosomal RNA is filed under the name uncultured Klebsiella sp. RNAcentral's name for it is "bacterial SSU rRNA". It matches the Rfam family "Bacterial small subunit ribosomal RNA", at positions 338 to 795 of the family's 1533-position model. Lineage: Bacteria; Pseudomonadati; Pseudomonadota; Gammaproteobacteria; Enterobacterales; Enterobacteriaceae. The record is from RNAcentral.